Molecule: transfer RNA, 67 nt
Filed under: Sepiadarium kochi
Lineage: Eukaryota; Metazoa; Mollusca; Cephalopoda; Sepiida; Sepiadariidae
Description: tRNA-Ala
Source: RNAcentral
AGUAUUAUACUUUAUAUAAGAAGAUGUGAUUUGCAAUUACAAAGUAAGAUUUCAAUCUUUAAUACUA